UCCUCCCUCUUUCUUCGUGCUUAACACAUGCAAGUCGAACGGAAAGGCCCUGCUUUUGUGGGGUGCUCGAGUGGCGAACGGGUGAGUAACACGUGAGUAACCUGCCCUUGACUUUGGGAUAACUUCAGGAAACUGGGGCUAAUACCGGAUAGGAGCUCCUGCUGCAUGGUGGGGGUUGGAAAGUUUCGGCGGUUGGGGAUGGACUCGCGGCUUAUCAGCUUGUUGGUGGGGUUGUGGCUUACCAAGGCUUUGACGGGUAGCCGGCCUGAGAGGGUGACCGGCCACAUUGGGACUGAGAUACGGCCCAGACUCCUACGGGAGGCAGCAGUGGGGAAUAUUGCACAAUGGGCGGAAGCCUGAUGCAGCAACGCCGCGUGCGGGAUGACGGCCUUCGGGUUGUAAACCGCUUUCGCCUGUGACGAAGCGUGAGUGACGGUAAUGGGUAAAGAAGCACCGGCUAACUACGUG
Molecule: ribosomal RNA, 468 nt
Filed under: uncultured bacterium
Lineage: Bacteria
Description: partial 16S ribosomal RNA
Rfam family: Bacterial small subunit ribosomal RNA
Source: RNAcentral